Molecule: ribosomal RNA, 575 nt
Filed under: Colletotrichum gloeosporioides
Lineage: Eukaryota; Fungi; Ascomycota; Sordariomycetes; Glomerellales; Glomerellaceae
Description: eukaryotic LSU rRNA
Rfam family: 5.8S ribosomal RNA (bases 203-356)
Source: RNAcentral
UCCGUAGGUGAACCUGCGCAGGGAUCAUUACUGAGUUUACGCUCUACAACCCUUUGUGAACAUACCUAUAACUGUUGCUUCGGCGGGUAGGGUCUCCGCGACCCUCCCGGCCUCCCGCCUCCGGGCGGGUCGGCGCCCGCCGGAGGAUAACCAAACUCUGAUUUAACGACGUUUCUUCUGAGUGGUACAAGCAAAUAAUCAAAACUUUUAACAACGGAUCUCUUGGUUCUGGCAUCGAUGAAGAACGCAGCGAAAUGCGAUAAGUAAUGUGAAUUGCAGAAUUCAGUGAAUCAUCGAAUCUUUGAACGCACAUUGCGCCCGCCAGCAUUCUGGCGGGCAUGCCUGUUCGAGCGUCAUUUCAACCCUCAAGCUCUGCUUGGUGUUGGGGCCCUACAGCCGAUGUAGGCCCUCAAAGGUAGUGGCGGACCCUCCCGGAGCCUCCUUUGCGUAGUAACUUUACGUCUCGCACUGGGAUCCGGAGGGACUCUUGCCGUAAAACCCCCCAAUUUUCCAAAGGUUGACCUCGGAUCAGGUAGGAAUACCCGCUGAACUUAAGCAUAUCAAUAAGCGGAGGA